RNAcentral lists this ribosomal RNA (409 nucleotides) under Amphicorina sp. 089-IOM-0254. Its description in RNAcentral is "partial 16S ribosomal RNA". It matches the Rfam family "Bacterial large subunit ribosomal RNA", at positions 1959 to 2597 of the family's 2925-position model. The record is from RNAcentral. Lineage: Eukaryota; Metazoa; Annelida; Polychaeta; Sabellida; Sabellidae.
GCAUGAUCCAUUGCCCUUUAAUUGUGGGCCUGCAUGAAUGGAUCGACGAAGCUACAGCUUUAUUUUUUUUAAAAUGAAAACUAAUAUUUAGGUGAAAAAGCUUAAAUAUAAAAGAAAGACAAGAAGACCCUAUAGAGCUUUACUUUGGCUAUAGUUUUUUUUACUAUAGUAAGGUUUAGUUGGGGCAACUGAAUUUCAUUCUAGCACUACGAAUACACAAGUGUACUUAAGACUUUAAGUCUUUUUUUUGACCCAAGAAAGAUCAUUGAAAAUAGCUACCUUAGGGGUAACAGGCUGGUUUCUUUUGAGAGUUCAAAUUAACAAAGAAGAUCGGCACCUCGAUGUUGGCUUAGGGUUUCCCGUAGGAGCAGGAGCCUACAAGGUAGGUUUGUUCAACCUUAAAAACCCU